CCUACGGGAGGCAGCAGUGGGGAAUAUUGGACAAUGGGGGGAACCCUGAUCCAGCCAUGCCGCGUGUGUGAAGAAGGCCUUAUGGUUGUAAAGCACUUUAAGCGAGGAGGAGGCUCUCUUGGUUAAUACCCAAGAAGAGUGGACGUUACUCGCAGAAUAAGCACCGGCUAACUCUGUGCCAGCAGCCGCGGUAAUACAGAGGGUGCGAGCGUUAAUCGGAUUUACUGGGCGUAAAGCGUGCGUAGGCGGCUUUUUAAGUCGGAUGUGAAAUCCCCGAGCUUAACUUGGGAAUUGCAUUCGAUACUGGGAAGCUAGAGUAUGGGAGAGGAUGGUAGAAUUCCAGGUGUAGCGGUGAAAUGCGUAGAGAUCUGGAGGAAUACCGAUGGCGAAGGCAGCCAUCUGGCCUAAUACUGACGCUGAGGUACGAAAGCAUGGGGAGCAAACAGGAUUAGAUACCCUGGUAGUCCAUGCCGUAAACGAUGUCUACUAGCCGUUGGGGCCUUUGAGGCUUUAGUGGCGCAGCUACGCGAUAAGUAGACCGCCGNGGGAGGUACGGUCGCGAGAACGUAAACGUUAAAGUAGUAGUUAGACGGCGUAGAGACGUUGCCGACGGACGACGACGAGGGAGGAGG
RNAcentral lists this ribosomal RNA (632 nucleotides) under uncultured bacterium. RNAcentral's name for it is "bacterial SSU rRNA". The stretch from base 1 to 543 matches the Rfam family "Bacterial small subunit ribosomal RNA", at positions 338 to 873 of the family's 1533-position model. The record is from RNAcentral.